This 254-nucleotide ribosomal RNA is filed under the name uncultured bacterium. Its description in RNAcentral is "partial 16S ribosomal RNA". It matches the Rfam family "Bacterial small subunit ribosomal RNA", at positions 524 to 776 of the family's 1533-position model. The record is from RNAcentral.
UACGAAGGGGGCUAGCGUUGCUCGGAAUCACUGGGCGUAAAGCGCACGUAGGCGGUUCGGUAAGUCGGGUGUGAAAACUUUGGGCUUAACCCAAAGACUGCACUCGAUACUGCUGUGACUUGAGUCCGGUAGGGGAGUGGGGAAUUCCUGGUGUAGCGGUGGAAUGCGCAGAUAUCAGGAGGAACACCGGUGGCGAAGGCGCAACUCUGGGCCGGUACUGACGCUGAGGAGCGAAAGCGUGGGGAGCGAACAGG